Molecule: unclassified non-coding RNA, 257 nt
Filed under: uncultured bacterium
Lineage: Bacteria
Description: contains 16S-23S intergenic spacer region
Rfam family: Bacterial small subunit ribosomal RNA
Source: RNAcentral
AACGGGGGGACCGAGCGUUUAUUCGUCUUGACUGGGCGUAAAGGGCAAGUAGGCGGUCGAUCUUUUCUAUAGUGGAAAAAACAAACAGCAUGUCUGUUUGAAACUUUAUAGGGGAUAAGACUAGAGUGUGAUAGAGGAUGACAGUACUCUCAGUGAAGGGGUAAAAUCCUUAGAUACUGCAGGGGACUCUCGGAGGCGAAAGCGGUCAUCUGGGUCAUCACUGACGCUGAGGGGCGAAAGCGUGGGGAGCAAACGGG